GGCGGCUUCGGCUGUCACUUAUGGCUGGACCCGCGUCGCAUUAGCUAGUUGGUGAGGUAACGGCUCACCAAGGCAACGAUGCGUAGCCGACCUGAGAGGGUGAUCGGCCACACUGGGACUGAGACACGGCCCAGACUCCUACGGGANGCAGCAGUAGGGAAUCUUCCGCAAUGGACGAAAGUCUGACGGAGCAACGCCGCGUGAGUGAUGAAGGCUUUCGGGUCGUAAAACUCUGUUGUUAGGGAAGAACAAGUGCUAGUUGAAUAAGCUGGCACCUUGACGGUACCUAACCAGAAAGCCACGGCUAACUACGUGCCAGCAGCCGCGGUAAUACGUAGGUGGCAAGCGUUAUCCGGAAUUAUUGGGCGUAAAGCGCGCGCAGGUGGUUUCUUAAGUCUGAUGUGAAAGCCCACGGCUCAACCGUGGAGGGUCAUUGGAAACUGGGAGACUUGAGUGCAGAAGAGGAAAGUGGAAUUCCAUGUGUAGCGGUGAAAUGCGUAGAGAUAUGGAGGAACACCAGUGGCGAAGGCGACUUUCUGGUCUGUAACUGACACUGAGGCGCGAAAGCGUGGGAGCAACCAGAUA
RNAcentral lists this ribosomal RNA (585 nucleotides) under Bacillus sp. (in: firmicutes). Its description in RNAcentral is "bacterial SSU rRNA". It matches the Rfam family "Bacterial small subunit ribosomal RNA", at positions 202 to 779 of the family's 1533-position model. Lineage: Bacteria; Bacillati; Bacillota; Bacilli; Caryophanales; Bacillaceae. The record is from RNAcentral.